Hylobates moloch (silvery gibbon) is the source of this 105-nucleotide non-coding RNA. Lineage: Eukaryota; Metazoa; Chordata; Mammalia; Primates; Hylobatidae. The record is from Rfam.
UAUUCUCAUGUGGAAGCUGUUUUGAGUACAACCCCAGUAUUAACCUGUUCUUCCACAACCCUAUGUACUUCGUACAUUACUGCUAGCCCCCAUGAAUAUCGUACA